GGGGCUAUGGCUCAGUGGCAGAGCGUCUGCUUGGAAUGCAGAAGGUCCCGGGUUGAAUCCUCGGCAUCUCCA
Gekko japonicus is the source of this 72-nucleotide non-coding RNA. The record is from the annotation of a RefSeq genome assembly. NCBI's taxonomy places the organism in Eukaryota, Metazoa, Chordata, Lepidosauria, Squamata, Gekkonidae.